ACCAGGUGGUUCCAGCCUGGCCAGCCUGCCCAGGAGGCCAGCAUGUUGCAGGAGCUGGUGUGGGUUUGUUGCUGAGUCCUUGGGAGCACACAGGAGGCCGCCUUUCCCAGUAAGGGUGGCAAGGGAAGGCCCAUCCGGAGACCCAGAGGAGGAAAAGUGAGGAUGGAAGGCUGGACCCAUGCAGCGUCACAUGCCAAUGGCUCCAGGCCAGGACACAGAAGCUGGAGAGAGAUGGGCAAAGAGAGAGAAAGGAGGACCAACUAUCAUCCAGAUGCAGCCAAGGUGGGCACCACUCCUUUCAAGGGUACUUCCUCUCCUGGGACCUUGAUUCCCCAGCAGAAGCAUGCAAGCAGUGAGCAAAUGUUUGGACUUCAGCCUCCUCCACCCGUGACUCUGGGAGAAGCUCCGAUGUGACCUGGCUCUCCAGGCCCACCACCGCCCAGGGCUCCCGUGUGCCUUCCAGCCGGAGCUGGUGGUGUGCCUGGGCCUGCAGCCCUUAGGUGCCUCAGUGGUGAGGAAGGUGUGUGGGCCUCCACUCUUGGGAACUUGCUCAUGAAGCAGUCUGAUUCCUCUGAGUCUAGGAAUUUAAUUUUUUUGUAUUAAUUUCUUAUUUUCAUUAAGUAAUAUAUGUAUAU
Artibeus jamaicensis (Jamaican fruit-eating bat) is the source of this 635-nucleotide long non-coding RNA. RefSeq lists it as uncharacterized. NCBI's taxonomy places the organism in Eukaryota, Metazoa, Chordata, Mammalia, Chiroptera, Phyllostomidae. The record is from RefSeq and is a predicted model, not a curated record. The transcript is spliced from 3 exons.